Strigops habroptila (Kakapo) is the source of this 141-nucleotide long non-coding RNA. RefSeq lists it as uncharacterized. The record is from RefSeq and is a predicted model, not a curated record. The transcript is spliced from 3 exons. Lineage: Eukaryota; Metazoa; Chordata; Aves; Psittaciformes; Psittacidae.
AAACACUUAACAAAGGAAUUUAUCAGGGGUGGAAAAAGGGACAGGCCAAGUGGGCCUAGAAACAUUGUCAGGGUAUGCAGGGAUGCAACGAGGAAGGCCAAAGCCCACUUAGAAUUGAGUCUGGCAGAGGACAUGAAGGAC